GUAGGGAAUAUUGCGCAAUGGGGGAAACCCUGACGCAGCGACGCCGCGUGAGUGAUGAAGGCCUUCGGGUCGUAAAGCUCUGUUGCAGGGGAAUAAAAAAAUGAAGGUACCCUGUGAGGAAGGAUCGGCUAACUUCGUGCCAGCAGCCGCGGUAAGACGAGGGAUCCUAGCGUUGCUCGGAAUCAUUGGGCGUAAAGAGGGCGUAGGUGGCUUGGUAAGUCAGGUGUGAAAGCCCAGGGCUCAACCCUGGAAGUGCAUUUGAUACUGCUGAGAUUGAGUGUCGGAGAGGUUACCGGAAUACCUGUUGUAGUGGUGAAAUACGUAGAUAUCAGGUGGAACACCGGAGGCGAAGGCGGGUAACUGGACGAACACUGACACUGAGGCCCGAAAGCGUGGGGAUCAAACAGGAUUAGAAACCCCUGUAGUCC
RNAcentral lists this ribosomal RNA (428 nucleotides) under uncultured bacterium. Its description in RNAcentral is "partial 16S ribosomal RNA". It matches the Rfam family "Bacterial small subunit ribosomal RNA", at positions 354 to 796 of the family's 1533-position model. The record is from RNAcentral.